RNAcentral lists this ribosomal RNA (1236 nucleotides) under Aster yellows phytoplasma. Its description in RNAcentral is "bacterial SSU rRNA". It matches the Rfam family "Bacterial small subunit ribosomal RNA", at positions 163 to 1399 of the family's 1533-position model. RNAcentral also lists the same sequence under 1 other name. Lineage: Bacteria; Bacillati; Mycoplasmatota; Mollicutes; Acholeplasmatales; Acholeplasmataceae. The record is from RNAcentral.
CUAAGACUGGAUAGGAGACAAGAAGGCAUCUUCUUGUUUUUAAAAGACCUAGCAAUAGGUAUGCUUAGGGAGGAGCUUGCGUCACAUUAGUUAGUUGGUGGGGUAAAGGCCUACCAAGACUAUGAUGUGUAGCCGGGCUGAGAGGUUGAACGGCCACAUUGGGACUGAGACACGGCCCAAACUCCUACGGGAGGCAGCAGUAGGGAAUUUUCGGCAAUGGAGGAAACUCUGACCGAGCAACGCCGCGUGAACGAUGAAGUGUUUCGGUACGUAAAGUUCUUUUAUUAGGGAAGAAUAAAUGAUGGAAAAAUCAUUCUGACGGUACCUAAUGAAUAAGCCCCGGCUAACUAUGUGCCAGCAGCCGCGGUAAUACAUAGGGGGCAAGCGUUAUCCGGAAUUAUUGGGCGUAAAGGGUGCGUAGGCGGUUAAAUAAGUUUAUGGUCUAAGUGCAAUGCUCUACAUUGUGAUGCUAUAAAAACUGUUUAGCUAGAGUAAGAUAGAGGCAAGUGGAAUUCCAUGUGUAGUGGUAAAAUACGUAAAUAUAUGGAGGAACACCAGUAGCGAAGGCGGCUUGCUGGGUCUUUACUGACGCUGAGGCACGAAAGCGUGGGGAGCAAACAGGAUUAGAUACCCUGGUAGUCCACGCCGUAAACGAUGAGUACUAAACGUUGGGUAAAACCAGUGUUGAAGUUAACACAUUAAGUACUCCGCCUGAGUAGUACGUACGCAAGUAUGAAACUUAAAGGAAUUGACGGGACUCCGCACAAGCGGUGGAUCAUGUUGUUUAAUUCGAAGGUACCCGAAAAACCUCACCAGGUCUCGACAUGCUUCUGCAAAGCUGUAGAAACACAGUGGAGGUUAUCAGUUGCACAGGUGGUGCAUGGUUGUCGUCAGCUCGUGUCGUGAGAUGUUGGGUUAAGUCCCGCAACGAGCGCAACCCUUAUUGUUAGUUACCAGCACGUAAUGGUGGGGACUUUAGCAAGACUGCCAGUGAUAAAUUGGAGGAAGGUAGGGACGACGUCAAAUCAUCAUGCCCCUUAUGACCUGGGCUACAAACGUGAUACAAUGGCUGUUACAAAGGGUAGCUGAAGCGCAAGUUUUUGGCGAAUCUCAAAAAAACAGUCUCAGUUCGGAUUGAAGUCUGCAACUCGACUUCAUGAAGUUGGAAUCGCUAGUAAUCGCGAAUCAGCAUGUCGCGGUGAAUACGUUGACGGGGUUUGUACACACCGCCCGUCA